This is a long non-coding RNA of Coregonus clupeaformis (lake whitefish), 606 nucleotides long. RefSeq lists it as uncharacterized. The transcript is spliced from 3 exons. Lineage: Eukaryota; Metazoa; Chordata; Actinopteri; Salmoniformes; Salmonidae. The record is from RefSeq and is a predicted model, not a curated record.
CUGAGACUGUGGAUGCAGAUGUCGUUAUAGUUACGGACAAAGAUUGAUGAUAACUCGAUUCCAUUUUAGCAACAAUGUAUUCAGAACAGAUGUUUUUGUUCUGUAAGAUUCCAGCUUUGAAGAGCCGAAGACCGCCCAGGGGCACAGGCAGGGCUGCAGAAAGACUUGGACAGGAAGACCUUGAAAGUUCUGUCCGACUGCAAGAAGAGAGGCUGGCCGAGAUGUGGUGACGAAGGUUGUAAUCAGGUGCUGUCAGCAGGGGGUCCAGCCUCCGACUGGAUGAGAGAAAAUAUACCGUGUACAUGAGUAAGUGAUUCUGGAAGGACUCCAGCUCAGAUGGAUCAGGGAUGGACAACUCCUGUUCUCAGGGGCCUGAUUGGUGUCAGACUUUCCCCCAGCCCUAUAACUAUUCACACCUGAUUAAACGAAUUACAUUUUAAAACUGAAGACCAUGAUAAGUUGAUUAUUGGAGUCAGGUGUGUUAGCUAGGGCUGGGAUAAAAGUGUGACACCGAUCAGGCCCCCGAUGACUGGAGUAGGCCAACCCUCAUCUAUUUUUUAUUUAUUAUUUAUUUUUAGUCAUUUAGCAGACGCUCUUAUCCAGAGC